CCCUUAGAUGUUCUGGGCCGCACACGCGCUACACUGGCAGGUUCAUCGAGCUUCAUGCCCUGAUCUGAGAAGAACGGGAAAUCUUUGAACACCUGCCGUGCUUGGGAUAGAUGUUUGCAAUUAUUCAUCCUCAACGAGGAUUGCCUUGUAAGCGCACGUCAUCAGCGUGCAUUGAAUACGACCCUGUAUUCUGUACACACCGCCCGUCGCUCCUACCGAUUGAAGUUUUCGGUGAAUUUACUGGAGAUCCCUUUUGAAGGUGGUUCGCCACUGGAAGAAGUAUUCAAAAGUAAAUGAAUCGAAUGCUUUAGAGGAAGGAGAAGUCGUAACA
This 331-nucleotide ribosomal RNA is filed under the name uncultured eukaryote. RNAcentral's name for it is "partial 18S ribosomal RNA". It matches the Rfam family "Eukaryotic small subunit ribosomal RNA", at positions 1470 to 1796 of the family's 1831-position model. The record is from RNAcentral.